UCACAGUUAACUGUACCAGUGAACUUGAGAAAAUCUUGUCUCCAGUGCCUUUUUCAUGUCACUCAACUCUGUGCUGCCGUUGCAGGAACCGGUGUCCUUCAAGGGCGUGGCUGUGGACUUCACCCAGGAGGAGUGGCAGCAGCUGGACGCUGACGAGAAGACCACGUACAGGGACGUGAUGCUGCUGGAGAACUACAGCAACCUCGUCUCCGUGGGUGAGGCCGCUUGCUAUCUAAACACUUGAAAUUUAGACUCUUCUUGAGUUUGAGGAAACAAAUGGUAAGCUCUUUUUAGUUCCUUUUGGGCAGAGGUCAAGUUUUGUAUUUUUACCUCUCCAUUGGAAGGUUCUGAUUUUGAUAAGUAAAAAAUGGGGUCUUUAUUGUAUAGCAUGGGUGGCAGCAUCUUCUGCAGUCGAUUUCUGAAGUCAGCCAGCUAGUCCAAGUACCUCUGCAUUUCUUGUUAACAGGGUACGAUGUUACCAAACCAAAUGUGAUCAUUAGGUUGGAGCAGGGAGAAGAGCCAUGGAUGAUAGAAGGUGACUUGUCCUCUCACAGUUGUCCAGGAGAAGUCUGCAAAGCUGGUGACCUAGUAGAGGACAUUGAAGGCAAGCAUUUGAGGCAAGCUGUCGACAUCAACAACCAAGACCUGCUGGAAGACAGAGGGUGUGCAUUUGAAAAAAUGUGCAAUGUAGAAUCUCUCCUUGUUUCACCAAGCAUGAUAGCUCACAGUUGUGUCUCCUGUGGAAAGAUUUAGAAUCUAUUUCAGAAUUAAUUAGUAGUGAUGGAAGCUAUGCAACAAAGAGAUUUGGAGAGUGCAUUGAAUGUGGAAAAACAUACGGAGAGACACCCUAUGAGUUUAAUCAAAAUAGGGAUGUCUGUUCUCAAAGUGAGGAAAGUGUUCUCCGGGAAAGAGCAUCUGGGAUUUCAUAAGAAAAGAAAUCUGUCGGAAGGCUAAGAGGGAUGAAGAGGAGUCAGUGGCAUGGAGUGGUCAGGCAAGGGGGUUUCAGGAUUUCCUAAGCAGACAUCAAAUCGCCCUGGGCACACUGCAAGGACACAGAGGUACCUUUACUCAGCCCAAGGACAUUAGGAUGCUUGCUCUGCAGACUGCUAGGGCAGGUGGGUGCAGUCUCCCCCCAUAUCCUCAGCUCUGGUACAUAACACUGGAUCUGGAAAGAAAAAGGCUCCCUGAACCAGUGCUGCUCCCCAUGGAGACCUCUCCCCAUGUCCAGCUUCCGCUUUUUUCUCUCCCCACACCCCUCCUUUCCACACCCCUUCCCUUCUCUCUCUAAUCCAGCCCCAUGUACCCAAGAUCCCCACCUGCUGCCGUUCCUCUGGGGAAACUGAGUCUUUCAGCCCAUGGACCUGGAUCAACUCAACUACCAAUUUGUGGAACAGGGGCCCAACCCAUACCUGUUAGCAUACACGAAGGAAAUCGUGUCUGGUUUGCACCUGGUUGUCCUCCUCCAUGACAUUGGCCGGGGAGCUGGGGAGAUAAAUCAGGGCAGUUGUCAGAGGAACAGCCAGGGAGC
This 1528-nucleotide long non-coding RNA is filed under the name Castor canadensis (American beaver). Its description in RNAcentral is "lncRNA (ENSCCNG00000004681.1)". The record is from RNAcentral. Lineage: Eukaryota; Metazoa; Chordata; Mammalia; Rodentia; Castoridae.